Molecule: ribosomal RNA, 326 nt
Filed under: uncultured bacterium
Lineage: Bacteria
Description: bacterial SSU rRNA
Rfam family: Bacterial small subunit ribosomal RNA
Source: RNAcentral
GAUGAACGCUAGCGGCAGGCUUAACACAUGCAAGUCGAGGGGUAGAGGAAGCUUGCUUCCUUGAGACCGGCGCACGGGUGCGUAACGCGUAUGCAACCUACCUUUUACAGAGGGAUAGCCCAGAGAAAUUUGGAUUAAUACCUCAUGGUAUAUAUCAUUCGCAUGUUUGAUAUAUUAAAGUUCCAACGGUAAAAGAUGGGCAUGCGUCCUAUUAGCUAGAUGGUAAGGUAACGGCUUACCAUGGCAACGAUAGGUAGGGGUCCUGAGAGGGAGAUCCCCCANACUGGUACUGAGACACGGACCAGACUCCUACGGGAGGCAGCGGU